This 464-nucleotide ribosomal RNA is filed under the name uncultured bacterium. Its description in RNAcentral is "partial 16S ribosomal RNA". It matches the Rfam family "Bacterial small subunit ribosomal RNA", at positions 28 to 507 of the family's 1533-position model. The record is from RNAcentral.
GACGAACGCUGGCGGCGUGCUUAACACAUGCAAGUCGAACGGAGAGGCCCAGCUUGCUUGGUGCUCGAGUGGCGAACGGGUGAGUAACACGUGGGUGAUAUGCCUCUAACUUCGGGAUAAGCUUGGGAAACUGGGUCUAAUACCGGAUAGGACAAUCGUUUAGUGUCGGUUGUGGAAAGUUUUUUCGGUUAGGGAUGAGCCCGCGGCCUAUCAGCUUGUUGGUGGGGUAAUGGCCUACCAAGGCGUCGACGGGUAGCCGGCCUGAGAGGUUGGACGGCCACAUUGGGACUACGAGACGGCGCAGACUCCUACGGGAGGCAGCAGUGGGGAAUAUUGCACAAUGGGAGCAAGCCUGAUGCAGCGACGCCGCGUGGGGGAUGACGGCCUUCGGGUUGUAAACCUCUUUCGACAGGGACGAAGCUUUGGUGACGGUACCUGUAGAAGAAGCACCGGCUAACUACGUG